Molecule: ribosomal RNA, 301 nt
Filed under: uncultured bacterium
Lineage: Bacteria
Description: partial 16S ribosomal RNA
Rfam family: Bacterial small subunit ribosomal RNA
Source: RNAcentral
CAGCCGCCGCGGUAAUACAGAGGAUGCAAGCGUUAUCCGGAAUGAUUGGGCGUAAAGCGUCUGUAGGUGGCUUUUCAAGUCCGCCGUCAAAUCCCAGGGCUCAACCCUGGACAGGCGGUGGAAACUACCAAGCUGGAGUACGGUAGGGGCAGAGGGAAUUUCCGGCGGAGCGGUGAAAUGCGUUGAGAUCGGAAAGAACACCAACGGCGAAACCACUCUGCUGGGCCGACACUGACACUGAGAGACGAAAGCUAGGGGAGCAAAUGGGAUUAGAUACCCCCGUAGUCCCUGUCUCUUAUAC